RNAcentral lists this ribosomal RNA (253 nucleotides) under uncultured bacterium. RNAcentral's name for it is "partial 16S ribosomal RNA". It matches the Rfam family "Bacterial small subunit ribosomal RNA", at positions 524 to 776 of the family's 1533-position model. The record is from RNAcentral.
UACAGAGGGGGCAAGCGUUAUUCGGAAUUAUUGGGCGUAAAGGGCGCGUAGGCGGCCUGACAAGUGGAAGGUGAAAUCCCUCGGCUUAACCGAGGAACUGCCCUCCAAACUGUCUGGCUUGAGACCGGGAGAGGUGAGUGGAAUUCCCAGUGUAGCGGUGAAAUGCGCAGAUAUCAGGAGGAACACCGGUGGCGAAGGCAGGUCUCUGGGCAUUAACUGACGCUGAGGAGCGAAAGCAUGGGGAGCGAACAGG